CCGAAGAUUUCAGGAGAGAAUGUUGUUUUGUUUUUCAUCAAAUUAUGAAAUACCAAAACCAUCACCGAAGGCGUAAAGACCCUAUAAUCGCUCAGGUAAAAGGACUGAAAUCGUAAU
Molecule: non-coding RNA, 117 nt
Organism: Glycine soja
Lineage: Eukaryota; Viridiplantae; Streptophyta; Magnoliopsida; Fabales; Fabaceae
Source: Rfam